UAGUCAGCCUUUUUCAGACAUCAUGUGGGUGAAAAGUGGAAUAAACGAGCAAAGACGUCAUAAAUGCUAAAAUCUUCGUUUUAAUGAUUUUCAUAAAGUUUCACAAUCGUCCGACACGUCGACGUCUUCUCAUCGUGAUCGUUUAGCGUGACAGGGCUGCCAAUCUCGGGACGCCGCACUAUACUUUUCUUUUCGUUCUGAAUUGAUGAUUGUCUCCAAAAUAUACAUAAUCCAGCGUCCACCGGCGAUCUUACGUAGGUCGUCGUUCCAGCGGGCCGGAGGACGUCCCACACUGUAUUUGCCAAAACGCGGUCCCCACUUCAGAACACGUCUGCUCUAGCGGCUAUCGGUCCUGCGAUACAGGUGACCAGCUCAUUACCACUACAACUUGCUAAUUCUGUGGGCUAUGUCUGCUACUUUCCUGGGAUAGUUCACCUCACGGAUCGUCUCAUUUCUAAUUCUAUCUUUGAGAGAUACCCCAACCAUAGUCACCUAUGAAUAAAAUAUUCCACAGCAAA
Molecule: long non-coding RNA, 518 nt
Organism: Melitaea cinxia (Glanville fritillary)
Lineage: Eukaryota; Metazoa; Arthropoda; Insecta; Lepidoptera; Nymphalidae
Exons: 2
Source: RefSeq, a predicted model, not a curated record